AAUGAGCUGCCAAUCUAGACAACAGGGCCGCCAGCAAUGUACCCAGCAAUGUGCUCGACAAACUUGCCAGCAGCAUUGUCAGAGGCAGCAAAUGGGUGAUCGACGUCAACAGCAACAGUGCCAAGAAAGGUGUGAGAGACAAUUCCAACAGCGAGGAGAAAAACUAGACAUUAACCCAUCAAGAGAUCCAGAGCAAAAGCUUGAGCAAUGCCAACAAAGUUGCCGAAUGAUGCAACAAGGCCAACAACAGCAGCAAUGUCGUAGAGAAUGCGCACAUCAAUUGAGCCAGCGAGAGCGUCAACAAAUCUGCCAACAACGUUGUCAGAUACAACAAAGUGGAGAUCAGCAACAGUGCCAAAGAAGGUGCCAGCAACAACUUGAGCAAGGUCAGGUCCAGAACUACCAUGAAAUAAGUCGGGGUGAGAGUCAAAUGAACAACCCUUACUUCUUUCCCUCAGACAUGUUUCACCAAAAAUUCAGGUCUGAAGAAGGUGGGAUGUAUGUUCUUGAGAGGUUCACCAUGAAUCAAAAUAUGCUUCUUCGCGGCAUUAGGAACUAUCGAUUAGCCAUCUUUGAGGCCAGGCCCAACACUUUCGUCCUCCCACACCAUUGUGACGCUGAAUCCAUUUAUGUUGUUAUCAAUGGACGUUGCACCUGUACAAUGA
Fragaria vesca subsp. vesca is the source of this 665-nucleotide RNA transcript. It is a transcript of the gene named vicilin-like antimicrobial peptides 2-1-like, with no coding region annotated. Lineage: Eukaryota; Viridiplantae; Streptophyta; Magnoliopsida; Rosales; Rosaceae. The transcript is spliced from 4 exons. The record is from RefSeq and is a predicted model, not a curated record.